This 489-nucleotide long non-coding RNA is filed under the name Panax ginseng (ginseng). RNAcentral's name for it is "long non-coding RNA (PGIN_LNC005128)". Lineage: Eukaryota; Viridiplantae; Streptophyta; Magnoliopsida; Apiales; Araliaceae. The record is from RNAcentral.
GCGGAUAUGUAUAUUACAUAUAUAAUUCUGUAAUAUAUACAGGGUCGUUCUUGAGCACGGGUGGGAGGAUUGACCACGCUGGGUAAGAAGCAUACUUUUACCAUACCUUACAAAAUUACAUAUGAACAAUUGCAGUUCAGUAGGAAUUACAAAACACAUGCAUAUCCAGUUCAUCAUUCAGUGAUCCAAAAUAGAUAAGCCGGAUGCCAUCUUUCUGACUCCAGUUACUCACCAUGCAUGCAAUACGUACCAAGCUGGGUAAAAAAAUUGAAAUGAUAAGUAGCAGCACACUAGAGAAAAAAUAACAAUAGGUAAUAGCUCACCGAUCUAAUAAUCAAUUUCAAACUGAAAAAAUAUUUUUUGGGUUUUCUUAACCACCUAAUCAACCAAAAAAUCGUCAUCAUCCGCUUCUUCUGAAGAUGACACUGACACUUCUACCAUGCUUGUGUUAUUUACUCUCUAGAAAGCUUUCGAAAUUUGAUAAUUUUC